This 496-nucleotide ribosomal RNA is filed under the name uncultured bacterium. RNAcentral describes it as "partial 16S ribosomal RNA". It matches the Rfam family "Bacterial small subunit ribosomal RNA", at positions 28 to 523 of the family's 1533-position model. The record is from RNAcentral.
GAUGAACGCUAGCGGCAGGCUUAACACAUGCAAGUCGAGGGGUAGAGUUAGCUUGCUAACUUGAGACCGGCGCACGGGUGCGUAACGCGUAUGCAAUCUACCUUGUACAGAGGGAUAGCCCAGAGAAAUUUGGAUUAAUACCUCAUAGUAUUAUUGAAUGGCAUCAUUUGAUUAUUAAAGUUCCAACGGUACAAGAUGAGCAUGCGUCCCAUUAGAUAGAUGGUAAGGUAACGGCUUACCAUGGCAACGAUGGGUAGGGGUCCUGAGAGGGAGAUCCCCCACACUGGUACUGAGACACGGACCAGACUCCUACGGGAGGCAGCAGUGAGGAAUAUUGGUCAAUGGGCGCAAGCCUGAACCAGCCAUGCCGCGUGCAGGAAGACGGUCCUAUGGAUUGUAAACUGCCUUUAUACGGGAAGAAACCCUGCUACGUGUAGCAGCUUGACGGUACCGUAAGAAUAAGCAUCGGCUAACUCCGUGCCAGCCGCCGCGGUAA